RNAcentral lists this ribosomal RNA (466 nucleotides) under uncultured bacterium. RNAcentral describes it as "partial 16S ribosomal RNA". It matches the Rfam family "Bacterial small subunit ribosomal RNA", at positions 28 to 507 of the family's 1533-position model. The record is from RNAcentral.
GACGAACGCUGGCGGCGUGCUUAACACAUGCAAGUCGAACGGAAAGGCCCAGCUUGCUGGGUACUCGAUUGGUGAACGGGUGAGUAACACGUGGGUUAUCUGCCUUCCACUUUGGGAUAAGCCCUGAUAACUGGUUCUAUUAUCGGACAAGAUCAACUGCGGCAUGGUGGUUGGCCGAAUGCUUUUGCGUUUUGGGUUGGGCUCGCGGCUUGUCAGCUUGUUGGUGUGGUAUUGGCUUACCGAGUCGACGACCCGUAGCCGACCUGAUCGGGGGAGCGGCCACGCUAGGACUGAGACGCGGCCCAGACUCGAACGGUAGGCAGCGGUGCGGAAUAGUGCACAAGGGGCGCAGCCCUAAUGCAGCGAAGCCGCGUGAGGGGUGACGGCCUUCGGGUUGUAUUCCUCUUUCACCAGGGACGAGGCGUUAGUGACGGUACCUGGAGAAGAAGCUCCGGCCAACUACGUG